This 288-nucleotide unclassified non-coding RNA is filed under the name plant metagenome. RNAcentral's name for it is "partial contains small subunit ribosomal RNA, internal transcribed spacer 1, and 5.8S ribosomal RNA". The stretch from base 1 to 51 matches the Rfam family "Eukaryotic small subunit ribosomal RNA", at positions 1781 to 1831 of the family's 1831-position model. The record is from RNAcentral.
GGAAGUAAACGUAACAAGGUUUCCGUAGGUGAACCUGCGGAAGGAUCAUUAAUGAGUUGUCAUGGGGUUCGAUGCUGGCAGCCAAUUUUUGGAUGCAUGUGCUUGCCCUAACAAUCAUCUUCCAAACACCUGUGCACAUUUUUGAGGGAGUCUUGAGUUGGUUGCCGCUCUUGGGUGAUUUUCUCACAUUCCCUUAAAUCAUUAUACGCUAUUAACAAUGUUGAACGUGCUCUGUGCCGCAAGGCUAUUAAUAUAAUACAACUUUUAACAACGGAUCUCUUGGCUCUC